Molecule: ribosomal RNA, 253 nt
Filed under: uncultured bacterium
Lineage: Bacteria
Description: partial 16S ribosomal RNA
Rfam family: Bacterial small subunit ribosomal RNA
Source: RNAcentral
UACGGAGGGUGCAAGCGUUGCUCGGAAUUACUGGGCGUAAAGCGUACGCAGGCGGCUUUGUAAGUCGGAUGUGAAAUCCCCAAGCUCAACUUGGGAACUGCAUCCGAAACUACCUCGCUUGAGUUCGGGAGAGGAAAGUGGAAUUCCUGGUGUAGAGGUGAAAUUCGUUGAUAUCAGGAGGAACACCGGCGGCGAAAGCGGCUUUCUGGCCCGAUACUGACGCUCAUGUACGAAAGCGUGGGGAGCAAACAGG